This 1021-nucleotide long non-coding RNA is filed under the name Macaca mulatta (Rhesus monkey). RNAcentral's name for it is "lncRNA (ENSMMUG00000049972.1)". Lineage: Eukaryota; Metazoa; Chordata; Mammalia; Primates; Cercopithecidae. The record is from RNAcentral.
AAGAUAUUCUCUCUCGAAGAAACUCCGCAGGAAAACCAGAGAUGAAGAUGCCGCCCGAAAAGUGCAGGCAGAGGAACAGGCCGAGGAGAAAGAUUCCACCGAGGAUCUGAAGGUGGAACUUUCGAAGAAGAAAAAAACUCCAUGGAAAGUGAAGGAGGCCUGGAGAGAGCAGGAGAGUGUGACGGAGUCCAGUGUGGUGUCCGCAGAAGUGGCCCUAGCUCUUUGUGAGCAAACAGGAGUAGGACCUCCCAGGAAAGGACGUUUCAAGUUUCUUGCAGCAGAGCUUCCUAGCGAGAAGUCCACAGAGAAAGUCGUGGCCGUUGUCAAUAGGGACUCAGCGCUUUGGGCAAGCGGCCGGCGGACUGCCUGAAGAAAAAGGUUGCAAGGAGGAGUCCCUGGAAGACAGCAACAAAGGCUCAGCUGAGGAUGUUCCCCAGCAUUUGAAGGUUACCUGCGCAGACCAGGAGAAUGGCAAAUGAAAACCGCAGUUUAAACUCUAAGUUUCAACCAGAAUCUAACAGCUCCUGGAUUUCCCGUGGCUCACACUCUUCAGAAACAACUCACAAAGAGCCUGAGGAAGCAGCUCUCCCUUAUCAGUGGGCCAGUUUAUUUGUCCAUCCCUGGGACUAGUAAGUACUGAAACGGUUUUUUUGUUCUUAAAUUCUAAGUUUGACUUUACCUUUAAAAAAGUAUUUCUUUGGUAUGAUUUAGUAUGUAUUAACCCUUCCACUCCCUCAAGUCUAAAACUUUUCAAAAGAAUUUUUGGCCGGGCACGGUGGUUCAAGCCUGUAAUCCCAGCACUUUGGGAGGCCGAGACGGGCGGAUCACAAGGUCAGGAGAUCGAGACCAUCCUGGCUAACACGGUGAAACCCCGUCUCUACUAAAAAAAAUAAAAAAACUAGCCGGGCGAGGUGGUGGGCGCCUGUAGUCCCAGCUACUCGGGAGGCUGAGGCAGGAGAAUGGCGUGAACCCGGGAGGUGGAGCUUGCAGUGAGCUGAGAUCUGGCCACUGCACUCCAGCC